This 234-nucleotide long non-coding RNA is filed under the name Gallus gallus (chicken). The record is from RNAcentral. Lineage: Eukaryota; Metazoa; Chordata; Aves; Galliformes; Phasianidae.
UCAGCGAGGCCUGCAGUGUAGCCACAUCCCACUGCUGGCCUGACUUGGCCUCGGGGAGCUGACAGAGGACAGCUGCCUCACUGGCCUCCAGGUCUUCCUUCAGACUGCCAUCCUGGCUGCAGAAGCCUUCAGGCACUGAGCUGCCCAAGGGCUCAUCCUCUGCUGCACAGCAGCUGGGUGGCUGCAAAGAGUAGUUCUCUUCUGGGUGGGUGCUGCUGCUGCUGCUGUCCUGGC